This is a non-coding RNA of Halomonas sp. PBN3, 216 nucleotides long. The record is from Rfam. Lineage: Bacteria; Pseudomonadati; Pseudomonadota; Gammaproteobacteria; Oceanospirillales; Halomonadaceae.
AAAGUCCCACCCGGCCAAGGCUAGCCACCAGCCGGCAGCGAGUGUUGCGUGGUGUCGGGUAACCGCCGCUGCGAAGCGUACACAGCGAGUGGAUAGGCCGUGUGAUAGAGCCCCGAAAUUGUGGUAGUGGCAGUCGCCGACAGUUUUCAAAUGCUGGAAGGCAACACGACCCUGCCGUAUGGCUUGGCAGGGAAGGGCCGCCGGGGUCGAAGAGCA